This 94-nucleotide ribosomal RNA is filed under the name Rhizoctonia solani. RNAcentral describes it as "partial 18S ribosomal RNA". Lineage: Eukaryota; Fungi; Basidiomycota; Agaricomycetes; Cantharellales; Ceratobasidiaceae. The record is from RNAcentral.
UUCUGUCUACUUAAUCUAUAUAAACUCAAUUUAUUUUAAAAUGAAUGUAAUGGAUGUAACACAUCUAAUACUAAGUUUCAACAACGGAUCUCUU